This 452-nucleotide ribosomal RNA is filed under the name uncultured Novosphingobium sp. Its description in RNAcentral is "bacterial SSU rRNA". It matches the Rfam family "Bacterial small subunit ribosomal RNA", at positions 9 to 507 of the family's 1533-position model. Lineage: Bacteria; Pseudomonadati; Pseudomonadota; Alphaproteobacteria; Sphingomonadales; Sphingomonadaceae. The record is from RNAcentral.
GAGUUUGAUCCUGGCUCAGAACGAACGCUGGCGGCAUGCCUAACACAUGCAAGUCGAACGAGAUCUUCGGAUCUAGUGGCGCACGGGUGCGUAACGCGUGGGAAUCUGCCCCUUGCUUCGGAAUAACAGUGAGAAAUUGCUGCUAAUACCGGAUGAUGUCUUCGGACCAAAGAUUUAUCGGCAAGGGAUGAGCCCGCGUAGGAUUAGGUAGUUGGUGGGGUAAUGGCCUACCAAGCCGACGAUCCUUAGCUGGUCUGAGAGGAUGAUCAGCCACACUGGGACUGAGACACGGCCCAGACUCCUACGGGAGGCAGCAGUGGGGAAUAUUGGACAAUGGGGGAAACCCUGAUCCAGCAAUGCCGCGUGAGUGAUGAAGGCCUUAGGGUUGUAAAGCUCUUUUACCAGGGAUGAUAAUGACAGUACCUGGAGAAUAAGCUCCGGCUAACUCCGUG